GACGAACGCUGGCGGCGUGCUUAACACAUGCAAGUCGAACGAAGUGGCGAACGGGUGAGUAACGCGUAGUCAACCUGCCCUUCAGAGGGGGACAACAGUUGGAAACGACUGCUAAUCCCGCAUACUGAAGGAGGGGAUUGCGUCUGAUUAGCCAGUUGGAGGGGUAACGGCCCACCAAGGCGAUGAUCAGUCGCCGGUCGCAGAGGAGGAACGGCCCAAAUGGGACGGAGACACGGCCCAGAUUCCGACGGGAGGCAGCAGUGGGGAAUCUUCCGCAAUGGACGAAAGUCUGACGGAGCAACGCCGCGUGAGUGAUGACGGCCUUCGGGUUGUAAAGCUCUGUUAAUCGGGACGCGGUACCGGAAUAGAAAGCCACGGCUAACUACGUGCCAGCAGCCGCGGUAAUUC
RNAcentral lists this ribosomal RNA (408 nucleotides) under uncultured bacterium. RNAcentral describes it as "partial 16S ribosomal RNA". It matches the Rfam family "Bacterial small subunit ribosomal RNA", at positions 28 to 526 of the family's 1533-position model. The record is from RNAcentral.